AUACUACCUGACAUGGAGACACCAUGACCUGGAAGGUGGUUUUCCCAGGGCGAAGCUGAUCCACUGCACUUGUGAUGCGCUGAUCCUUGUGAUUUCCCCAAAUGCAGGAAACCCCACUGCAUAAUUUGUGGUAGUGGGGGACUGCAUUCAUGCUUCCCCCUA
Molecule: small nuclear RNA, 162 nt
Organism: Nannospalax galili (Upper Galilee mountains blind mole rat)
Lineage: Eukaryota; Metazoa; Chordata; Mammalia; Rodentia; Spalacidae
Gene: U1
Rfam family: U1 spliceosomal RNA
About the family: U1 is a small nuclear RNA (snRNA) component of the spliceosome (involved in pre-mRNA splicing). Its 5' end forms complementary base pairs with the 5' splice junction, thus defining the 5' donor site of an intron. There are significant differences in sequence and secondary structure between metazoan and yeast U1 snRNAs, the latter being much longer (568 nucleotides as compared to 164 nucleotides in human).
Source: Ensembl